Molecule: regulatory RNA element, 143 nt
Rfam family: Pseudoknot of tRNA-like structure
Source: Rfam
GGUGCCUUUGAACCCUUUAUCCCGGGGUUCUUCGGAAGGUGAGACUUGAAUUCCAUGUAGAGUCUCGCCGUGCACGGUAUCACACUGAUGAUACCUUCAGAGUGCAGGCAUCGCCUACGGUUUUCCGUAGGUCCCCCUAGGGG